This is a long non-coding RNA of Aegilops tauschii subsp. strangulata, 3621 nucleotides long. RefSeq lists it as uncharacterized. NCBI's taxonomy places the organism in Eukaryota, Viridiplantae, Streptophyta, Magnoliopsida, Poales, Poaceae. The record is from RefSeq and is a predicted model, not a curated record.
CUCUCUCCCCCUCCCUCUCUCGAUCUCUAUCUCUCUCUCUCUCUCGUGCUGUCUCCUCCUAGCCCUGAUCUGAAUCUAAAUCGAGAUCUAGAUCGGAGCUCGCCGCUACCGCCUCACGCACACCGGCGUCCGACGCCAUACACCACCCCUUGCUCCCGCCAUGCCCGCCUCUCCUCGCCUUCGAGCUCUUCCCCCUGUUGCUAGCCAACCGAUGUGCCACCAGGCUCCACGCCGACCACAACCUCUCACCUCCUUCCCCAUAAUAGUCGAAUCUGGCAUGGCCUCCCAAGCCGAUGACCUGACAUCUUCCUCAGAUCCGCGCUCCUCUCUUGUGCGGGAUCCAGAGGAUCCACACACGAUGGCUAGUGUUGCUCGUGUGGGUCACCGGCGUUGACCCUCAUUUUUUGUUCAGUCAUGACGGUGACUUAAUCCACCUCCAGGACCAUGAACAGAUCCACCUUAGGUAACCAUGCGAUAUCAAGGGGGGGAUCCAUGCCGACCAUGUCGUGUACCACCAUGGCCUCCAUCGCCAGAUCCAUGGCCGUGCACCACCUCCUCAUCGAUGGUCGUGCGUGAUGGACGUGGUGGUCAAUGAGGGCAUCAUCCACGACCACGCAUGUCCCAUCACCAGCCUUCUUCCUCGACGACCUCCACCUCGUCCUCCUACUUGUUGGUGCUCCUGGCGGUGAGGAUGAACUCCACCUUGUCCUCCUCUACCUUGACCCGUACGCCUUGUCCUCUGUCGGCCCUGUGGUAUCCUCUCUCUCUCCCUCUCUCUCUCCUUGAUUGUGGAGGAUUGUUUUUAUGUUUGCAUGUGAUCGGACGGAUUUGACACAUAGUCAUCUUGGAAUGAAUUCAGAUUUGGCACUUAACCAAUGUAGAGCACUACAUGGGAUCUCUAUAACUGUGAUCAUAUUUACAUGCUGCAAAGUGCACACUUUUACUGAUGAACUUAGUUAAUUUCUAGAACUUUUGAUAUUGAAAGUGCGCACUUUUGAUUUAAAUAGACACAUAUAUCCUAUGAAAGUGCGCACUUUUGAUUUUUUUCAUACACCGAUCCUGUGAAAGUGCACACUUUUGAAUUCUCAAUACGCAGAUCCUAUUAAAGUGCUCACUUUUGAAUUGUUCAUACACAUAUCUUAUGAAAGUGUGCACUUUUGAAUUUCUCAUACGUAGAGCUUAUGAAAGUGCGCAUUUUAAUUGUUCAUACACAGAUCCUAUGAAGUUGUGUAUAUCCUUUUAGUCUGAAUUUUGCAAAUUUCUGUAUUUUUGUCACUUUUUUGAGUUGGGGUAAUUUGUCACUUGGUCGUAUUUUGCCACUUCGUCACAUUUGCAAUAUGAGAUUUUUGGCACUUUGUAAUAUGACAUUUUUGGCACUUAUUAAUUAUCUGUCUCUUUGUCCUAUUUGGACAUUUCGUAAUUUGAGAUAUUUGACACUUGCUAAUAAAAUUGGAACAUUGUAUAUCAUAUUGGCACUUUUAGUUAUUUCCUAAUAGUUGAUUAAGCAUUGUUUGUAUUAAUAACUGAUGCACUAACUAGUAGUUAAUUAGUUGUUUAAAUAUGCCAGUAUUUGAAUUUGAAUUCACACAAGUUGUAUGGCUUCCCCUUCAAAAGGAAAUCUACCACACUUGAGUAUGCAUUGAAACAAGUGUGCACAGUCUACAGGGCGUGCAAUUUGUUCAAAGAGGAGAGAGAGAGAAGAUUUGACACAAUAAUGUAAUGGAAAAGUGGCUUGUAAUUAUUGCACAGAUCACGAAGCAGAAAUAGAUGACAUAGAUAGCCUCUCUGAGGGUACUUCUUGAUGGCAUAACUAUUUCAUUAACAAUAGUAGUUUGGAGCCAUGGUGCACCAUAAGGAAGUUAAUAUACUAACUUUCAAAGUUGAGAUCAUAAACUAGUCACUUGUUUAGGAAGACGCGUGCUAUCUUGUAUCACCAUAAACGAUGAUUUUUUGUCCAACAAAAGAAAGUGUGUUGGAAAGUUAUAUUGAAACUGAUGCAAGAUCAAAUUUAGAAAUAAAGAUCCUAGAAGAUCUCUUUAAUUAUUAGACAAAUUGUUAUCUCAUAUCUCAUAGAUAUUGUAUGUAUAUCAGUGAAUAAAUUCCAGAUCUUCUUGAUAAUGUCAUAAUUUAAUAUUAGAUGAGGCCAUUAAUGUGAAGUUCUAUAUUAAAACAUGUGGCAAGAUUGAAUUCCUCAUUCGGAGAUCCUAGAAUAUCUCGUUAAUUAUUAGACAAAUUUAUAUCUGAUAUCUCCUAGAUGUUGUAUAAAUAACAAUGAUUAAAAUCCAGAUAUUCUAGAUUAUGUAAUCAUUCAAUAUUACAUGAUGCCAUGCAUGGCCAUAGUUUUGUAAGAACUUUAUAUAUACAUCUACCUAUGCAAUAAUCCUCAUAAGCUUCAAGCACUAUCAUAGCAUAAGCGUCUCUCUUCUCCAUAGCUUCUUCUGAAAAUUGUUGAUCUUGCCAGUAGUCAUGGAUCCUAAUGGCUCCUACCCUAACAAAGUUAGAUCUAGUGAAAGUGAUGCCUACAUUUCUCCCUUGCAUGAAGCAUUGAGAGGCACGACAGCCCUGCCAGUGUCAAAUGAUAUUUUGGCCUUUGAGUCACUACCAUCAGAUUCACCUUCCAUGGUGAACUCCUCACUUGCACCCAAUGCACCACUUGAACCUACCAUGAUGUUAGUCAAUGAUAGUUCCAUGAUGCCACACCAUGAGAAUGUAGGCCUAGCACCACUACCACCACAAUUGUCUGAUACAAUUAUUAAUCCUCUAUCCAUGGUUAAUACCAUAGUGCCCCAGCCCAACAAUGAGGAAAUCCAUCAAGAUGAACAUGAAAUGUUCAAGCAUGAGGAUUUCCUUUCAAACCCUUUGUGGAAUUAUGCAGACUCAUAUCAUCAUACCUAUACCUCGCCCAUGGAGUCUCCAUCAUUCACAUCCUUACUCCAAACAGAUCCAAAUUCUAUUGUUCAUACCCAGCUUAACACUAAUGGAGCAAUGGAGGAUGGUUCAAUCUCCGAUAUGCCCACCAUGCAUGUCUCUGAGAACAUACAAAAUGGAAGGCUACUAUAUGACGCUUCUUAUGGUGUACCUGCCCCUAUUUCUCCAUUCAUGACAACCUCGCAUGUACCAAGAGAAGAUAAGACCCCUCUAGUUGGUCCAAAUGGCAUUUUUGGUAGUGGUAUUUUGCAUGGUUCUACAUCCUUGGGUAAUUACACAUGCAAGAUUUGCGGUCGCAAAUUCAUCACAUCUCAAGCCUACGGUGGUCACAUGAGUUCCCAUGCCAAAGAAAGGAAGAAACAACUACAAAGUUGAUCUUCCCAUGGACUUGGACAUCCCAUGAUUACCAUUCUCAGGACAAAUAUUUCUACUAGCGCCAAAAUGGUUGAAGACCGAGAGGUUCUGGCUCAAGUGUAGAAAUUUUAAUAGAUUUUAUUUUUUGGAAACAAAAGUAUCAAUGGAGUAACAUAAGAGUGAGAAUAUGUUGUGAGGGUGUGAAACAAUAGAACCGUAUUUGUUUAAAUGGUAUGUGUUGUUGUUUCCAUGUUUAACUAAUAGAUUCAUCUUUAAUGGUUGUGGACCUUGUUAUUCUCUUCCAUAUUAAUAUAUGAAGGAACCGAGAUUUUUCAUGAA